RNAcentral lists this ribosomal RNA (36 nucleotides) under Collybia irina. Its description in RNAcentral is "Lepista irina partial 28S ribosomal RNA". Lineage: Eukaryota; Fungi; Basidiomycota; Agaricomycetes; Agaricales; Clitocybaceae. The record is from RNAcentral.
GUCCAUUGACUUGGACAACUUAUGACAUUUGACCUC